ACGUAUCUCUGACGGGGUGCGGUGCGCCCUGCUCCGGCCCAAACGGCCGUGCAGCGGGCUCCCGUCCCUGUUCACACCUUACAAACCACUGUGAACCUCCACGGCGGAAGGAGGGCAACCUCCCGAGGCCGCAUACAAGCACCAGUACUAAAGAAUGUCGUGCGGACUCUGUUCGCCUAAACACAAAA
Molecule: unclassified non-coding RNA, 188 nt
Filed under: uncultured fungus
Lineage: Eukaryota; Fungi
Description: sequence contains ITS1, 5.8S rRNA gene
Source: RNAcentral